GCUUCGUUUUUCUUCUCUCAAUGAGUGUUUUCAAAAGUGUAUUUUAUUCAUUCGAUUUUGUGUGUUGCGAUGCAAAUGUCAACUGCAUAGAUAAAAAUAGGUGACAACAAACGCUGUCCCAAAUAAUGUCAUUUUGCAAAGUAAUUUUUGGGGUAGCUACUUUUAACACGUGAGGCGCAUUGGGACACUUUUGACAGCAGCGAACGUUCCUGUAAGCCACUUCAAGACAAGUUCUAUUCAUUCCCACAUGGGGGCACGGCUACCCGAUUGGACCUGGAACGAGAACCAGCAAGAGCCAGAAUCAGGGUGGGGAGGAGGAUGCCUCAGCCGCUUCAACCCAUCCCAGGCGAGCCUUUCAGCUCCACGAGUAGGGCAGAGGUCAGGGCCACCUCGGGGUCCCGCAUCCAGUCCAGCGCUCCAUGUUGAUGAGCAAGACGACCUCACCUGCCAAGUCUACCGUGUCAAACACAGCGCAGAUCAGGGCCCAUCAUGCAGGACAGAAGUGCCUGUUGAGGAGGAGAGGAAGGACCCCUCGGCUGCCUCCAAUGCUUCUCACUGCCCGAACGAGGCAGAGGUCGUCGUGUGAAUGACUUUGGGACUCACGUAGUCAAGGUCCAGUCAAAAUAAUCCGGCUGAGCCUCCAUAGCGGACAUCAUCAAAGUGUCAGUGCACAUAUGGAGAACAAUGCCAGACAAGCUAAGCGAAAAAAAAAAACUUCAAACACAUUAAGACACAGUUAUUGAACAACAUGAAGUGUGUGAAAAUGCAAAUAUUUAAGGCAUCAUACACUUUAUAUGAUAUUUAUACAGUUACGUGUGUUAUUUGCAUCACAGAACGUUUGCUCACACUCACCAUUUGUGGUGCACAACUGACCUGAGGGCAAAAAAAAUAAAAAUAAAAAAAGUUAUUUACCCACUUUUAAUUACUAUUUCAUUGGGUGGAACAGUGUAGCAGCUGGAAAGCUUUGGCCUCACAGUUCUGAGGUCCCCGGUUCUGAUCCUGGCCCUCCCCGUGCCUGCGUGUUUUUUUUCCAGGCACUCCGGUUUCCUCCCACAUCCUAAAAAAAUGCAACAUUAAUUGGACACUCUAAAUUGCCCCUCAGUGUGAUUGUGGUUGCGACUCUUUGAUGUGCCCUGUGAUUGGCUGGCAACCAGUUCAGGGUGUACCCCGCCUCCUCCCCGUUGAUACCUGAGAUAGGCUCCAGCACUCCCCGUGACCCUCGUGAGGAUAAGCGGGUAAGGAAUUGGAUGGAUAGUAACUACAGUAUUAUUGGUCAUAUGGAACACACAUCCGAACACUAAGCAAACUAAUCAUAGCAGUAUAUGCAUUGUCAGGAAAAUAAACAAAUAUCUAAUAAAUACUGUGUAACAAUUUGAACAUAUACUGCACGAAAAAUUGGAUUCUGUCUUAACGCAGAUGAAAACCUCAGAAACACUCAAAGUAUUUUUUAAACAUGGCUGGUGGUAGGACUUUGAAUUAGAGCCAUGAAUCUCCACAGUUGGGAUGGAAUUGUGACAUUUCAAUGAGGAAAAUGGAUCUGAUAUUGCUGAUGUCAGCCUGAAGCUCCAUAAUUCCAAAUUUGUAGCAGUCUAUUUUUUUCACCAAUCUUGACUGCUCAGACUACACGUUUUUUGUCUUAAUCAAGUUAUCUUUUCAUGAAAAUUUAAUACUUUUUGGGAUUCUUGCCCUGCUUCCCUGAACUUGGGUCCUCCACACCUUGCCUUGCCUUCCUCGCCCUUCUCAUGACGGGUGGAGACACCAGAACGGUCCUCCUUCCUCGGCUUGUUCUGCAAAGUGGACAUUACCGUCACAGACAGGGCAGUGCUUGCUUCAUCUUGCAGACUGCACGCUACAGUGUUCCCUAUUUCUGCCCGAGAUGGACCUGACGUCGGCCCUGUCCAGGCAGUUCGAAGAACUGGAGGCGGUGGAAGCGGCCGUGGCGUCAUCCUCCUCCUCCUCCUCCUUCAUGUGCCGCAAAGUAGAGGAAAAGUGCACAGGGGUACCUCCACCCUGACUGGAAAAUAUAGACUGUAUUUAAGCAAAGAAAAUGAAUUUCUUCUCCAUUUAGGGUUAGGGUCAAAGGUUUUCUAAAAAUGUGCAUAGGCUACGGUAUGCUUUUUUUUUUUUUGUUUUACCAUUGCACAUAUAGCAACUGAAAUAAGUAACAUCACUAGUUUGCUCAAAUAUAUUUCCAAAGGCGGUUUUCACAUGACAAUUUCACAAAAUGUUGAACAACUGAAGUAAUCCAUAAAUACAAAAAGUGGAAGAAAUAACCUCAGAAUUUAAAUUUUCAUAUUGUGAAAUGACAGGGGAAACUGAACUCUCUGACAUUUGAUUACUUUCUACAAAAGCACUCAUUUGCAAUUUUCAGUCAUAUAACCGGAAUACUAUGAAUAAUUUGCCAUGACCAUUUGCUGAAAAACAGCCUCACAUCGUGUCUUCACUGUCGCUCUGGUGUUUUUCGGGCAAUGUGCAGUGUUAUUUCCCUUCAAAUGUGGUGUGUAUUGCGUUAUUCAGAGUUCAAUUUAGCUCUUACGAAUCAGGCCAUGUUGGCUUGUUCAAAUGUUGUUCAGCAACCUUUAAAUGAGCUUUGACUUUUUUUUUGGUCAGCAAUCAGGUCUUGCCAUGCAUACAGGCCUUGGCGACAGAGUACAUUACUCACCGCUUUCCUUGGGAAAAUAGUCCCUUUUAAUUCCAGGUCGCAUGUUUUUGGGAUGUGGGAGGAAACCAGAGUGCCCGGAGAGAACAUGCAAACUCCACACCUGGAGGGACGGGAUCGAACCUGGGUCCUCAGAACUAUGAGGCCAACGCUUUCCAGGUGCAUCGCCGUGCCGCCUUCUUUUGUCAUAUUUUUCUUCUCUGACUUGAAAUACAUUUUUGCUUUCUACCUACCCCUCCAUUUCCUUAAUCAGUCACUGAUUUUUAUGCAGCGGUAACGGCAAAUAUUGAUAAAUGGAGGCCAGCAAAAUACUUGAAAAAUCUUGAAAACCUGGGCUAAACAAAACAUUUAGCAUUUGCUCCAAUUUCACAAUAUGUUUAAAUGUAAUCCUGAUGUGAGAUGAAUUGAACUAAUUUGUGUUUAUCAAAAAAAAAAAAAAAACUAAAAAACGCGACACUAAGAGUGUCACAGAAGGUCUUUUUUUCCAAGCCAAAUCUUCCUCUUGUUUCUACUCUGGCAAGUUUUUUGUACACUCGUUUUGAACAUUUUGUCUCUUAAAAAGGCGCCCACGCGAGAAGACUCACCAUAUUGUGAUGUCGCCAGAAGGUAAAAAGCUGCUUUUUUUUCUUUCCCGACUUCCCUCGGAGUGUACAGGACAAAAUGUCGGUCAUAGUCGUUGUCAGUUAGCUAGCUCGCUCGUUAGCUUCGCCAUUGCUGCUCCUCUCGUUUGACGAAUGACGUCACCCAGAGCACCUCUUCACCGUGAAAUGUUAUGGCGAGUGGAACCAAACUUUAAUAGUAACGGGAUAAUGCAAGUCGAUUCAUACAUCAAUCUAAAAAUGUGCACAUGGAAUAUUUUAGAACAUGCCAUCAACACAUCGUUUGUAUUUUUCCCUAUUCGACAAAUCCACAAGGUGCUCAUGUUACACCUGCAUUUGCUCUUUGGGCAGAGUUCUCAUUUUUGAACGUUUUUUAUUUGGAUAAAAAGACAGAGACAUUUCAUGUAAAAUGUUGGAUCCUGAAAACCUUGUACAUUUCAGGUAAUUUAUUUUGAUUUAAAAUGCAUUAGAAAGGGGGGGAACUUAUUUUUGAUUCCAUGCGUAAGCUUCGUUCUGAGAGGAAACAAUUGAUUGAAACGCUUCAGGAGCCGAUUUCACAAUUACUGGACUGUACUCAGAAGAUAAAAGCAGUUUAUUUAGUAUUAUUGGUAAACUUUAUUCCCUUUGGGUUCAAGUGAAUUGAACAUGAUAAAGCCCUCGCGAAAAAGAACGAUAGACAGAAAGAGUGUGCAACAUCCUGUUGUUUCACAAUAAUGGCAAAAGAUCGUUAAGAGUGUUUGAUUGAGUGAUUUUUAUGUUUAAUCCAGCUGUAUUAUUGUCAAUCUUCAACAAGUCAUAUUGGAUAUCUCUAUGUUCUUGAGAAUGAGAAUAGAACUCACUCAUUUGAACUAUUGUUUCAAAGAGUUUUGUCCAAUACAUUUGUUAGGUUACAUGCUGUGUGAUUUAGAAAUAGCAGAAGAAGCUGCAGUACGUUGAAACAUAUCGCGUGUGAGACCUGUUAGCGGAUGCUAUUUAUGUGUUCUGAGCUAAACGUGUAUUCUGUAGUGUAUUCGGAAAUAAAAUAACUUUAAUUUGCUGCACAAAGAAUUGGGUGAUUCCAGUCCUGAAAGUGUAACACGUGCACCUAAAACCACUUUUUAUUUUAACUUUUAAACGACGCUACAUGUGUGGCAAACCCUUCUUUUGCUGUUUCUUCCAAAUAAAGGUACAGUGUACAUUUUGGAGGUGAAUCAUCCAAGGUUGACCUGACCAAAGGUAAUGUGACAGCAAAACUACACAUUGGUAAUAUCAUCUUCAGUACAUGUCAAAUGUCAUAAAAUUUAAAGCAUUGUAAAUGUAAAUUCAAGGUAACCAGCCAUUGUUUUGUCGAAUGGGUCGGUGUCCUUUUCAUAAUAGCCAACAUCAUAUGGAUACAUAAAUGACUCAGAGAAAACCAUUUGUUUUUGUUGUCCUUAUAGGCUGACAAAUUCCAGAUAUAUGUGGAUUACUGCUUGAACAACGCAGACUCCACUCAGCUCAUUCUGGACCACGCUGUAGACUAUUUUGACGUAAAUUGAAUGUGAAGAAAAUACAGCAGAUGCACCACUUGGAACAGCCAAUCUUAUCCCACCUGAUUAUGCCAGUGCAAAGAAUCACAAAAUAUCAGCUCCUGCUCAAGGUAAUCCCCCAAAAAAAGCAACAUAAAUUACGUGACAAUUACUCAGUGAACCCUGCCCCCCCCCCCCCCUAUUUCGGGGAUAGUAUACAUUUCAAACCCACCCGUGGGAGGCAUUAUUUGACACGAUAGAAAGACAAUGUAGAUAAAACAAAACACACAAGCUUUUUUCAAGACCUUGUAAAUUAACUUUAGAGAUUGGUUCAAUGUACAUGACAGAUGUUUGAAGUUGAUUGCUGAAAUUUAAAUUUCUGUGGCCCAAACUCAAUGGUUUGGUCAACAUGCCCAUGUUGUUUUAACGCAGAACCCACAGAUUGAUUAUUUUAGGAUUUUGAAGCCUCAUUUGAAAUGCUUUGUGUGUUUUUGUCAUGCUCCUGGAUUCCAGCCAGGGCUGGGCGUGGCCAGCUAAUCUGAAGGUGCACACCUGCGCCUCAUGACCUUUGAUUAAGACCCAGUACAUAUAGGACUCGGGGGACGACUAUUACUCUGCUAGAUCGUUGCCUCUCAUGCCUCGUUCCCGCACUACCGUACUCCUGACGUCUACCUCCCGUGUACCGACCAACGCUGUCUCCCGACCUACCCCGUAAGCCUGCCGUCACUGAUCUUGCUGCUUGUUUGGACUGACUCCCUGGUAACCGACAUUGGAACGAAUAAAGGCUUAUUCCGCACUGCUUACCUCUCACCUGAGUCGUGCAUUUGGGUCCACCCCCGAGUCUCGUCCGUGACAGAACGAUCUAGCCAAGAACAUGGACCCAGCCGACUCUGAAGCCAUUCGCCGUGCGCUGCAAGUGCAGGGCAAACGCCUGGGUGAGCAAGAGGCUGCUCUCCAGGGUAUGACUCACCAAAUCCAGGAGCUCUGCACCCAGCUGCAACCGUGGCUAGCCUCCCAGCUAGC
Long non-coding RNA from Syngnathoides biaculeatus (alligator pipefish), 5768 nucleotides. RefSeq lists it as uncharacterized. NCBI's taxonomy places the organism in Eukaryota, Metazoa, Chordata, Actinopteri, Syngnathiformes, Syngnathidae. The transcript is spliced from 3 exons. The record is from RefSeq and is a predicted model, not a curated record.